AACCCUAAGUAAUUUAUUUAGGGCAAUUUCUGCUCAAUGUUUACUAAAUAGCCGCAGUACUUUGACUGUGCAAAGGUAGCAUAAUAAUUUGGCUUUUAAUUGGGGUCUGGUAUGAAUGAAAAAAUGGGGAAAUACUGUAUCAAUCAUGAUUCUUCAAUUUACUUAAAAGGUGAAAAUUCCUUUAAUUAUAUAACAGACGAGAAGACCCUUGAAAUUUAUUAUAAAAUUUUGUUGGGGCGACAGAGUAGCAAGGAAACCUACUUUUAGAAUAUGGCUUACUAUUUAAGGACAAAUUAAAUUACUCGAGGGAUAACAGCAUAAUUAUUUAAAUAGUUUGUGACCUCGAUGUUGGAUUAGGAACAUCUAACCCAGAAGGUGAAGAUUAGCGCUCUGUUCGAGCAAUUUUUCCUACGUGAUCUGAG
RNAcentral lists this ribosomal RNA (422 nucleotides) under Satsuma nux. RNAcentral describes it as "partial 16S ribosomal RNA". It matches the Rfam family "Bacterial large subunit ribosomal RNA", at positions 1829 to 2609 of the family's 2925-position model. The record is from RNAcentral. Lineage: Eukaryota; Metazoa; Mollusca; Gastropoda; Stylommatophora; Camaenidae.